This 449-nucleotide ribosomal RNA is filed under the name uncultured bacterium. Its description in RNAcentral is "partial 16S ribosomal RNA". It matches the Rfam family "Bacterial small subunit ribosomal RNA", at positions 29 to 523 of the family's 1533-position model. The record is from RNAcentral.
AACGAACGCUGGCGGCAUGCCUAACACAUGCAAGUCGAACGAGAUCUUCGGGUCUAGUGGCGCACGGGUGCGUAACGCGUGGGAAUCUGCCCUUUGGUUCGGAAUAACAGUUGGGAACGACUGCUAAUACCGGAUGAUGACGAAAGUCCAAAGAUUUAUCGCCAGAGGAUGAGCCCGCGUAGGAUUAGCUAGUUGGUGUGGUAAAGGCGCACCAAGGCGACGAUCCUUAGCUGGUCUGAGAGGAUGAUCAGCCACACUGGGACUGAGACACGGCCCAGACUCCUACGGGAGGCAGCAGUGGGGAAUAUUGGACAAUGGGCGAGAGCCUGAUCCAGCAAUGCCGCGUGAGUGAUGAAGGCCUUAGGGUUGUAAAGCUCUUUUACCCGGGAUGAUAAUGACAGUACCGGGAGAAUAAGCUCCGGCUAACUCCGUGCCAGCCGCCGCAGUAA